GAUGAAGGUUUUCGGGAUCGUAAAACUCUGUUGUUAGGGAAAAACAAGUACCGUUCAAAUAGGGCGGUACCUUGACGGUACCUAACCAAAAAGCCACGGCUAACUACGUGCCACCACCCGCGGUAAUACUUAGGUGGCAAGCGUUGUCCGGAAUUAUUGGGCGUAAAGCGCGCGCAGGCGGUUUCUUAAUUCUGAUGUGAAAGCCCCCGGCUCAACCGGGGAGGGUCAUUGGAAACUGGGGAACUUGAGUGCAGAAAAGGAAAGUGGAAUUCCACGUGUAGCGGUGAAAUGCUUAGAGAUGUGAAGGAACACCAGUGCCAAAGGCAACUCUCUGGUCUGUAACUGACGCUAAGGCGCG
This 358-nucleotide ribosomal RNA is filed under the name uncultured Bacillus sp. RNAcentral's name for it is "bacterial SSU rRNA". It matches the Rfam family "Bacterial small subunit ribosomal RNA", at positions 407 to 755 of the family's 1533-position model. Lineage: Bacteria; Bacillati; Bacillota; Bacilli; Caryophanales; Bacillaceae. The record is from RNAcentral.